This 436-nucleotide ribosomal RNA is filed under the name uncultured bacterium. Its description in RNAcentral is "bacterial SSU rRNA". It matches the Rfam family "Bacterial small subunit ribosomal RNA", at positions 28 to 491 of the family's 1533-position model. The record is from RNAcentral.
GAUGAACGCUGGCGGCGUGCCUAACACAUGCAAGUCGAGCGAUUCUCCUCGGAGAAGAGCGGCGGACGGGUGAGUAACGCGUGGGUAACCUGCCCUGUACACACGGAUAACAUACCGAAAGGUAUGCUAAUACGAGAUAAUAUGCUUUUAUCGCAUGGUAGAAGUAUCAAAGCUCCGGCGGUACAGGAUGGACCCGCGUCUGAUUAGCUAGUUGGUAAGGUAACGGCUUACCAAGGCGACGAUCAGUAGCCGACCUGAGAGGGUGAUCGGCCACAUUGGAACUGAGACACGGUCCAAACUCCUACGGGAGGCAGCAGUGGGGAAUAUUGCACAAUGGGCGAAAGCCUGAUGCAGCAACGCCGCGUGAGCGAUGAAGGCCUUCGGGUCGUAAAGCUCUGUCCUCAAGGAAGAUAAUGACGGUACUUGAGGAGGAAGC